GGGGUUGUGGUUUAGUGGUAGAGCACGUGCCUAGCAUGCAUGAGGCACUGGGUUCAAGUCUCAGCACCA
Molecule: transfer RNA, 69 nt
Filed under: Ictidomys tridecemlineatus (thirteen-lined ground squirrel)
Lineage: Eukaryota; Metazoa; Chordata; Mammalia; Rodentia; Sciuridae
Description: Spermophilus tridecemlineatus (thirteen-lined ground squirrel) tRNA
Rfam family: tRNA
About the family: Transfer RNA (tRNA) molecules are approximately 80 nucleotides in length. Their secondary structure includes four short double-helical elements and three loops (D, anti-codon, and T loops). Further hydrogen bonds mediate the characteristic L-shaped molecular structure. tRNAs have two regions of fundamental functional importance: the anti-codon, which is responsible for specific mRNA codon recognition, and the 3' end, to which the tRNAs corresponding amino acid is attached (by aminoacyl-tRNA synthetases). tRNAs cope with the degeneracy of the genetic code in two manners: having more than one tRNA (with a specific anti-codon) for a particular amino acid; and 'wobble' base-pairing, i.e. permitting non-standard base-pairing at the 3rd anti-codon position.
Source: Rfam by way of RNAcentral